RNAcentral lists this ribosomal RNA (370 nucleotides) under uncultured organism. RNAcentral describes it as "bacterial SSU rRNA". It matches the Rfam family "Bacterial small subunit ribosomal RNA", at positions 526 to 896 of the family's 1533-position model. The record is from RNAcentral.
CGGAGGGGACUAGCGUUGUUCGGAAUUACUGGGCGUAAAGCGCGCGUAGGCGGAUUUGCAAGUCGGGGGUGAAAGCCCGAGGCUCAACCUCGGAACUGCCCUCGAUACUGCAAAUCUCGAGUCCGAGAGAGGUGAGUGGAAUUCCUAGUGUAGAGGUGAAAUUCGUAGAUAUUAGGAAGAACACCAGUGGCGAAGGCGGCUCACUGGCUCGGUACUGACGCUGAGGCGCGAAAGCGUGGGGAGCAAACAGGAUUAGAUACCCUGGUAGUCCACGCCGUAAACUAUGGGUGCUAGCCGUCGGGGAGCUUGCUCUUCGGUGGCGCAGCAAACGCAUUAAGCACCCCGCCUGGGGAGUACGGUCGCAAGAUUA